RNAcentral lists this ribosomal RNA (331 nucleotides) under uncultured bacterium. RNAcentral's name for it is "bacterial SSU rRNA". It matches the Rfam family "Bacterial small subunit ribosomal RNA", at positions 158 to 507 of the family's 1533-position model. The record is from RNAcentral.
UGGGAGUAAUACCGUAUGUGCCCUUUAGUUGUAGUNACUAGGGGGGAAAGAUUUAAUCGCCUUUGGAUUGGCCCGCGUUGGAUUAGGUAGUUGGUGGGGUAAUGGCCUACCAAGCCGACGAUCCAUAGCUGGUUUGAGAGGAUGAUCAGCCACACUGGGACUGAGACACGGCCCAGACUCCUACGGGAGGCAGCAGUGGGGAAUCUUAGACAAUGGGCGCAAGCCUGAUCUAGCCAUGCCGCGUGAUCGAUGAAGGCCUUAGGGUUGUAAAGAUCUUUCAGAUGGGAAGAUAAUGACGGUACCAUCAGAAGAAGCCCCGGCUAACUCCGUG